UGUCCGGUGAUGAAAAACCUGUUGAAUCAUACCAUCUUUCGGGACUGAUUGGUCGCUAUGCGUCCAUGCUGUCAUUCUGCAAUUCUGAGGACA
Molecule: non-coding RNA, 93 nt
Organism: Triticum aestivum (bread wheat)
Lineage: Eukaryota; Viridiplantae; Streptophyta; Magnoliopsida; Poales; Poaceae
Source: Rfam